This 730-nucleotide ribosomal RNA is filed under the name Aphelenchus sp. 12-6370. RNAcentral's name for it is "eukaryotic LSU rRNA". It matches the Rfam family "Eukaryotic large subunit ribosomal RNA", at positions 344 to 905 of the family's 3401-position model. Lineage: Eukaryota; Metazoa; Nematoda; Chromadorea; Rhabditida; Aphelenchidae. The record is from RNAcentral.
ACAAAUACCCUGAGGGAAAGUUGAAAAGCACUUUGAAAAGAGAGUGCAAGAGAACGUGAAACCGACAUAAUGGAAGCGGAUGGAGCUGACGUAUCUGGCGCGUAUUCAAUCGUUCGCUGCGGCAAUCGUUUUGGUGGCAUUCCGCAAGGUUGUCAUCCGAGCGUCUCGUCGUUGUCGGACGGUGCAUUUGCGUGCGGAGUGCGCCGAGCGGGUUGAUGCCGCUGCUGGAAGCUCGGGUAGAGGACUCGGUGGCAACAUUCGAGAAUCCUGCACGAGUGGAUAGCGGGUGGCGUUGGCUUGUCCAUGGAAGUGCGGGUGAAUUCGCGAUCGGCGGUUUCGGUGCGGGUGGCUUGCGGACGGCACAUGUGUCGUUCGUUCGUUUGCUCGUGCGGUAGCAGUCGGUUGCCCUCGUGCUGAACUCGGUGUAUAGUCGGUCACCCAUUUGACCCGUCUUGAAACACGGACCAAGGAGUUUAAGGUGUACGCAAGUCAUUGAGCGAGCAGAAACUCAAAGGCGGAAUGAAAGUGAGACACUCGGUGUCUGUGAUGUGAUCGGCGGGCGUUUCGACGUCCACCGUGCAACAUCGCCCCGUGAUUUGGACUUGUCCUGUUGCGGAGGUUGAGCGUACGCUUUGAGACCCGAAAGAUGGUGAACUAUGCCUGAACAGGAUGAAGCCAGAGGAAACUCUGGUGGAAGUCCGAAGCGGUUUAGACGUUCACAAUCGAUCGU